UGAUGACGAGACGCUAAGGCGUUGAAGCAGUAUGUCAGACUUCCAAGAAAAGCUCGCAAUGUCACUAAUAAAAAAUGCCUGUACCAUAACCGACACAGGUGGGUAGGUAGAGUAUACUAAGGGGCGCGAGAUAACUCUCUCUAAGGAACUCGGCAAAAUGACUCCGUAACUUCGGGAGAAGGAGUGCCUUAUUUAUAAGGUUGCUAUAACAAGAUCCAAGCAACUGUUUAUCAAAAACACAGGUCUCCGCUAAGUCGUAAGACGAUGUAUGGGGGCUGACGCCUGCCCAGUGCCAGAAGGUUAAAGAAGUUGGUUAGUGUAUGCGAAGCUGAUGACUGAAGCCCUGGUGAACGGCGGCCGUAACAAUAACGGUCCUAAGGUAGCGAAACUCCUUGUCGGGUAAGUUCCGACCCGCACGAAAGGCGUAAUGAUUUGGAUACUGUCUCGGAGAGAGGCUCGGUGAAAUAGACUUGUCUGUGAAGAUGCGGACUACCUGCACCAGGACAGAAAGACCCUAUGAAGCUUUACUGUAACUUGAAAUUGGAAUUGGACUUUGCUUGCGCAGUAUAGGUGGGAAGCGUUGAAAAUAUUCUUGCGGGAGUAUUGGAGCUAUCAGUGAGAUACCACUCUUGUAAUGUUAGAUUUCUAACUUUGAACCAUAAUCUGGUCAAAGAACAGUUUCAGGUGGGCAGUUUGACUGGGGCGGUCGCCUCCCAAAUGGUAACGGAGGCGUACAAAGGUUUCCUCUGAACGGAUAGAAAUCGUAUCUAGAGUGUAAAGGCAUAAGGAAGCUUGACUGUGAGACCUACAAGUCGAGCAGGGACGAAAGUCGGUCUUAGUGAUCUGACGGUACUGAGUGGAAAGGCCGUCACUCAACGGAUAAAAGUUACUCUAGGGAUAACAGGCUGAUCUCCCCCAAGAGUUCACAUCGACGGGGAGGUUUGGCACCUCGAUGUCGGCUCAUCGCAUCCUGGGGCGGUAGUACGUCCCAAGGGUUGGGCUGUUCGCCCAUGAAAGCGGUACGCGAGCUGGGUUCAGAACGUCGUGAGACAGUUCGGUCCAUAUCCGGUGUAGGCGCUAGAAUAUUGAGAGGAGCCUUCUUUAGUACGAGAGGACCGAGAAGGACACACCGCUGGUGUACCAGUUAUCGUGCCAACGGUAAACGCUGGGUAGCUAUGUGUGGAGUGGAUAACCGCUGAAAGCAUCUAAGUGGGAAGCCCACCUCGAGAUGAGUAUUCUC
Molecule: ribosomal RNA, 1240 nt
Filed under: metagenome
Description: bacterial LSU rRNA
Rfam family: Bacterial large subunit ribosomal RNA
Source: RNAcentral